RNAcentral lists this ribosomal RNA (264 nucleotides) under uncultured archaeon. RNAcentral's name for it is "partial 16S ribosomal RNA". It matches the Rfam family "Archaeal small subunit ribosomal RNA", at positions 716 to 982 of the family's 1478-position model. The record is from RNAcentral.
AGUCACUGACAUUAGAUACCCGCGUAGUCCAGGGUGUAAACGCUGCAGACUUGGUGUUGGGAACCCUUCGGGGGUGCUCAGUGCCGGAGAGAAGUUGUUAAGUCUGCUACUUGGGGAGUACGUCCGCAAGGAUGAAACUUAAAGGAAUUGGCGGGGGAGCACCGCAACGGGAGGAGCGUGCGGUUUAAUUGGAUCCAACGCCGAAAAACUCACCAGCAGCGACUGUUACAUGAAAGUCAGGUUGAUGACCUUACUAGAUUUCAG